Molecule: ribosomal RNA, 900 nt
Filed under: Providencia rettgeri
Lineage: Bacteria; Pseudomonadati; Pseudomonadota; Gammaproteobacteria; Enterobacterales; Morganellaceae
Description: partial 23S ribosomal RNA
Source: RNAcentral
UAGCGGCGAGCGAACGGGGAGCAGCCCAGAGUCUUAAUCAGCAUUAGCAUCAGGAGAACGGUCUGGAAAGUCCGGCAGUAAAGGGUGAUAGCCCCGUAUCCGAAGGUGUUAGUGUUGUGAACUCGACGAGUAGGGCGGGACACGUGUUAUCCUGUCUGAAUAUGGGGGGACCAUCCUCCAAGGCUAAAUACUCCUGAUUGACCGAUAGUGAACCAGUACCGUGAGGGAAAGGCGAAAAGAACCCCGGCGAGKGGAGUGAAAUAGAACCUGAAACCGUGUACGUACAAGCAGUGGGAGCCUUGAUUUAUCAGGGUGACUGCGUACCUUUUGUAUAAUGGGUCAGCGACUUAUAUUCUGUAGCAAGGUUAACCGWAUAGGGGAGCCGUAGGGAAACCGAGUCUUAACUGGGCGAAUAAGUUGCAGGGUAUAGACCCGAAACCCGGUGAUCUAGCCAUGGGCAGGUUGAAGGUUGGGUAACACUAACUGGAGGACCGAACCGACUAAUGUUGAAAAAUUAGCGGAUGACUUGUGGCUGGGGGUGAAAGGCCAAUCAAACCGGGAGAUAGCUGGUUCUCCCCGAAAGCUAUUUAGGUAGCGCCUCGUGAACUCAUCUUCGGGGGUAGAGCACUGUUUCGACUAGGGGGUCAUCCCGACUUACCAACUCGAUGCAAACUACGAAUACCGAAGAAUGUUAUCACGGGAGACACACGGCGGGUGCUAACGUUCGUCGUGAAGAGGGAAACAACCCAGACCGCCAGCUAAGGUCCCAAAGUCAUAGUUAAGUGGGAAACGAAGUGGGAAGGCUCAGACAGCCAGGAUGUUGGCUUAGAAGCAGCCAUCAUUUAAAGAAAGCGUAAUAGCUCACUGGUCGAGUCGGCCUGCGCGGAAGAUGUAACGGGG